This 253-nucleotide ribosomal RNA is filed under the name uncultured bacterium. RNAcentral's name for it is "partial 16S ribosomal RNA". It matches the Rfam family "Bacterial small subunit ribosomal RNA", at positions 524 to 776 of the family's 1533-position model. The record is from RNAcentral.
UACGUAGGGGGCGAGCGUUAUCCGGAUUCACUGGGUGUAAAGGGAGCGUAGACGGCCAUGCAAGCCAGGGGUGAAAGCCCGGGGCCCAACCCCGGGACUGCCCUUGGAACUGUGCGGCUGGAGUGCGGGAGGGGCAGGCGGAAUUCCUGGUGUAGCGGUGAAAUGCGUAGAUAUCAGGAGGAACACCGGCGGCGAAGGCGGCCUGCUGGACCGCGACUGACGUUGAGGCUCGAAAGCGUGGGGAGCGAACAGG